CAGCGUUCUCAGGGCGGGGUGAAAGUCCCCACCGGCGGUGAUGGCGAUUGAUUCGCAUAAGCCCGCGAGCGCCCGGCUUUCCCAAGGCCGGGGUCAGCAGAUUCGGUGUGAUUCCGAAGCCGACGGUCAUAGUCCGGAUGAAAGAGAAUCGCGA
Molecule: non-coding RNA, 154 nt
Filed under: Cupriavidus sp.
Lineage: Bacteria; Pseudomonadati; Pseudomonadota; Betaproteobacteria; Burkholderiales; Burkholderiaceae
Description: FMN sequence
Rfam family: FMN riboswitch aptamer (RFN element)
About the family: The RFN element is a highly conserved domain that is found frequently in the 5'-untranslated regions of prokaryotic mRNAs that encode for flavin mononucleotide (FMN) biosynthesis and transport proteins. This element is a metabolite-dependent riboswitch that directly binds FMN in the absence of proteins.
Source: RNAcentral